Molecule: ribosomal RNA, 253 nt
Filed under: uncultured bacterium
Lineage: Bacteria
Description: partial 16S ribosomal RNA
Rfam family: Bacterial small subunit ribosomal RNA
Source: RNAcentral
UACGUAGGGACCAAGCGUUGUUCGGAUUUACUGGGCGUAAAGGGCGCGUAGGCGGCGUGACAAGUCACUUGUGAAAUCUCGGGGCUCAACCCCGAGCGGUCGUGAGAAACUGGCAGGCUAGAGUGCGGGAGAGGAGAGUGGAAUUCCUGGUGUAGCGGUGAAAUGCGCAGAUAUCAGGAAGAACACCCGUGGCGAAGGCGGCUCUCUGGAACGCAACUGACGCUGAGACGCGAAAGCGUGGGGAGCAAACAGG